Hyalella azteca is the source of this 975-nucleotide long non-coding RNA. RefSeq lists it as uncharacterized. The transcript is spliced from 3 exons. Lineage: Eukaryota; Metazoa; Arthropoda; Malacostraca; Amphipoda; Hyalellidae. The record is from RefSeq and is a predicted model, not a curated record.
GUUGCCACAGGUCGGAAAGACCGAAGUCCGUCACAUGUGUGCAGCUCGCACUGAGCUGCAGUUGGUAGCUCCCUCCACGCUGCAGCUCCUGUAGCGCUGUUGUGCACUGGUGUUGGAAGUGGUGGUGCUGUUGUUGGACAAAAAUACCUUUAUGGAGACGAUGAGUUUAGUUACACUUCAAUGAAGAAACGUUAAUUGAGUUCUUUCUUCGAUUGUCGUGUUUGAUCAGGCUUUACACGUGUAAAGUGAUUGACGACUUCGUGUACGUUAGCGCGCGCGCAAGUGCAUUAUUUACCUGAGCCAACUUCUGUCACUGGAAAUAUCUGGUACGCUUGCAAGCUCAUCAAUUAAUGUUACUAAAUUCAUUUUAAAGUGAUUAUUUGUAAAAACGUUUCUGUUGUAAUGUGAGCCCAAGUUCUUAUUCAAAAUUUCUACAAAUAUUUCUUCACGUCUUCUUUCGCCACGGAAUGGACGAGGUCCAGUCACCAUGGCCGGAAAUAUGCCAAACCGCACCUAUUGACACGUGUUCCGCGUCGAGGGGUGAAAUAAUGCCGGAGGGGCACAGAGCAACGAUGAUCUGCUAAAGAAGGAAGAAAAUGUGCGGCGUUCGCUAAGGUCCCAGAAGGAAAAAAAUAAAAUUUAUACGAUGCGGUAUUAAUUUACAAAAGUCAAAGAUUACACGAAAAAUACCAUAAUACAUAAAAUAAAAAUACUUCAACCGAGAUUUCAAGGAGCAACGCUCGAGCUAUUUUCAAAUUAUUGAAAAAAUUAUGCCGUACUUUGACCUUAAUACAAUACCGAAAAUCGAAUGAAUCCAGUCCUAACGUAAGCAUUCACAAACCUACAGUCUCAGACUUUCUCUGAGCUUCUUGACCCUCUACCGCCUGACAUGAGUAACCGGAGCAAUAUUGUCACACAAGCCUACCCACAAAGGAUACGUUCUAGUGAGAGCAAAAUGACUGGCACUGAUUGUUA